UGAAUAUGUCGAAUGUUCAAUUCAAUAAGUAUGCAGAUAAUUGAGUUCAGUGGAAUAGAACCACCACAAUGGAUAGAACCACCUAAGAAAAGCAAAGAAAAAACCUAGUGUAUGAACAGUAGAGAUCUCGGACAAGAUAUGUCAAGUGGCAGCAAGAUCUUUGGUUAUUGAAGCCAACUUGUGGAAAUGAUACCUUGUUACUGGUCCUGUUCAGCUUAUCCAUCGUUAUCAAAACUUAAUCAAACAAUGUCAAAUUGAACUUGCCACUAUACAAACUUCCAUUCAACGAUUCAAAAUGGCGCAAUCUUCAACUCCACACCAUCAUCAAUGGGUAUUUCUUUUUAAUUUUAAUUUCUAAUAUAAUAAAUGUCUUCUAAUUUUAUGCUUAUGCAGGACCAAAUUGAAAAUACAGCAGGGACUAGUAAGGACCAAAAUGAA
This is a long non-coding RNA of Arachis stenosperma, 438 nucleotides long. RefSeq lists it as uncharacterized. The record is from RefSeq and is a predicted model, not a curated record. NCBI's taxonomy places the organism in Eukaryota, Viridiplantae, Streptophyta, Magnoliopsida, Fabales, Fabaceae. The transcript has 3 exons.